AGUUAGCCGGAGCUUAUUCUCCCGGUACUGUCAUUAUCAUCCCGGGUAAAAGAGCUUUACAACCCUAAGGCCUUCAUCACUCACGCGGCAUUGCUGGAUCAGGCUUUCGCCCAUUGUCCAAUAUUCCCCA
This 130-nucleotide ribosomal RNA is filed under the name uncultured bacterium. Its description in RNAcentral is "partial 16S ribosomal RNA". The record is from RNAcentral.